ACACCUCAACUCUCAUGGUUUGCCAUGAUGAGCUUGGACUUUGGGGGUCUUGCUGGCCUGCGGUCAGCUCCUCUCAAAUGAAUCAGCUUGCCAGUGUUUGGUGGCAUCACAGGUGUGAUAACUAUCUACGCUUGUGGUUUUCUACCAGGUAACCUUCAGCGAUGGAGGUUCGCUGGAGCUCAUAAAUGUCUCUCCCCAGUGAAGACAGCUUCGUGAAU
RNAcentral lists this unclassified non-coding RNA (218 nucleotides) under uncultured Tomentella. Its description in RNAcentral is "sequence contains ITS2". Lineage: Eukaryota; Fungi; Basidiomycota; Agaricomycetes; Thelephorales; Thelephoraceae. The record is from RNAcentral.